Molecule: ribosomal RNA, 253 nt
Filed under: uncultured bacterium
Lineage: Bacteria
Description: partial 16S ribosomal RNA
Rfam family: Bacterial small subunit ribosomal RNA
Source: RNAcentral
UACGAAGGGGGCUAGCGUUGUUCGGAAUUACUGGGCGUAAAGGGCGCGUAGGCGGUUUGUUAUGUCAGAUGUGAAAGCCCCGGGCUUAACCUGGGAACUGCAUUUGAAACUGGCAGACUAGAGAUCGAGAGAGGAAAGUGGAAUUACAAGUGUAGAGGUGAAAUUCGUAGAUAUUUGUAAGAACACCAGUGGCGAAGGCGACUUUCUGGCUCGAUACUGACGCUAAGGCGCGAAAGCGUGGGGAGCAAACAGG